GCAGUGAGGGCCCCGCCGCUCCCCCAGCAGUCGCCUCCCAAGUUCGCGGAACGCAAAUGACCGGCUCCCUCUGGACUGGGUGACACGACUGAUCCCAAGCAGUCGUUUGUAAACUGAGUUUCUGUAAAACAAUUUUAUUUUUCAUGUGUGACUGUAGCGGGGUAUGAUUUGAACUUUGUUUUCCGUCCCCCAGCCCGGAUUCUCUGUCUUCUCCUGUACAGCCGUUCCGUUUUCUUACCUUCUUACCUCGUCUCCGUCACCGAGGCCCUCAGCCCUGAACACUAGGACUGGGCAGUUUCCCUAUUGAUUCCUGAACCUGGAACUUAAGACAUCUUCCGAGGGCCCCCCUCGCCACACCCUCUAGCUGAUCGACUCACAAAUACCUGUGAUUUCUCUCCCCGUCUCCACCUCCAGACCCAGGGGCUGAUGAUGAUGAGGAAAUCACCUACGAGAAUGUUCAAGUGCCCGCAGUCCUAGGGGUGCCCUCAAGCUUGGCUUCUUCUGUACUAGGGGACAAAGCAGCGGUCAAGUCGGAGCAGCCAACUGCGUCCUGGAGAGCCGUGACGUCACCAGCUGUCGGGCGGAUUCUCCCCUGCCGCACAGCCUGCCUGCGAUACCUCCUGCUCGGCCUGCUCCUCAUCUGCCUGCUGUUAGGAGUGGCCGCCAUCUGCCUGGGAGUGC
RNAcentral lists this small RNA (681 nucleotides) under Pan troglodytes (chimpanzee). Its description in RNAcentral is "processed transcript". The record is from RNAcentral. Lineage: Eukaryota; Metazoa; Chordata; Mammalia; Primates; Hominidae.